CAUAACACAAGCAAACAAAAAAAAUAGCUGGACGGACACAUCUACAAAGCCCAAGAAAAAGCAAUACCACCCAAAAUUCAACCAACAGAUAUCAACUCAAUUGCUUCUUAGCUCAGUUGCCUUGGAAAUUGGAUUUGCUCUUGUCCUGACAAUAUCUUCAAUGUCAGUACCCUUAUAAUUUGGAGGCACCUGUGAAGCAAUCUUAUCUGCCUUAAUCAGUACUGGAUUAUCAUCUUGCACUUCUCCAUCCUCAACAAAGAUCUGAUCAUCCGGAGGUUUCAAAAGUGAUGCAUACUGGAUCUUAUUGGAAUUUGAUUCUGAUGGCUCUCCUUUCUGCUGCUGUGUAGUAACUAGUUGCUGGUCAGCCACUCCGGUUGGCUGAUCAAUGGUCGUCAUGGCCAUGUUUGAAAGCUUAGGAUCUACGUAUUAGGGUUCUCAGAGAUCAUAGGACAAAUGGCUACUUUGCUCAAGCUACUCGCACCUCAAUGUGCAAUAGCAGUAGGCCAGACACGUAGCUCACCAACAAGCCCAGUUGUACACCUCCGCCGCCGCACAACCCUCCGUAGUGAAGUUGUAAGUGGUUGAACAGAGAAAAGGCUUUAGUGGGUUGUUGUAGUUGCAAAUGUAGAGAUAGAAGAUAAGUCCAGGAGACAAUAUCUGGUUGGGGAAUUUGAUCGAACACCUUGUGGGCAUCCAAAACGUUUGUUCAGCUUUAGUGUAUAUGUUGAGUAGUUUGCAUGCAAAAGAUUGAUGAGAUUGGAUAAAGAGACAACAUGUGAUGGAUUGAGCAUGAAUUUGCUUAGAACCAAAAUAUUUAUUGCUUUGAAGUAGCUGCUGUCUCCAUGGUGUUGGUAUUAGCGAGUUGAGCACUUACAUGCUGCGUGUAAGGUGGUUGGGUUAAGUGCAUUUGUUUACAUUAAGAUCUAACAACUUAUUUGGUCUGAAUAGGUGUUAAUCAUUAAGAUCUUAAACAAAGUCUGAAUAUCAUUAAGAGGUACUUUUUAUGAAUAAUUUUUACCAAUGGCUCCACCACAUCCCCACUCCCACCAACCACCUAACCUUACAACCCCACUCACCACCAACACCACCCAACCCUACCCAACAACCCACCCACCAUCACCACCCGGACCCCACCCCCACCUAUCGACCACCAUCCAUCCCCACCCCAACAACCCACUCACCAUCACCACCCACCUAUCUUACCCCCAACCACCACGACUCACCCCACCACCACGACAACCCCCCUUCCCGCCUCACACACACACAACCCUCCCACCACUACCCACAGCACCUACCACCCAGACCCCUCCCCUCCCCACUUACCACCAACACCAUCCUAACCCCCCCCCCCUACCUUACCCCAACCACCACCCUACCCUUGAACCACCACCACCCACCUAUCUUACCCCAACCACCACCCUACCCUUGAACCACCACCACCCACCCACCUUACCCCAACCACCACCCUACCCCUGAACCACCACCACCCACCCACCACCCCUAUCUCACCUAACCCACCACCAUGCACUUACCCCACCUACCAUCACUACAAAGCAUGUUCACCAUCACUAGCGAACAUAAAUGUUUUAUUUUUUUGUCAAAUAGUAUUCUUAUUUUAUUAAAUUUUUAUUUAGUUACUUUUUUAUUUGAAUUGUAU
Long non-coding RNA from Lycium barbarum (goji berry), 1657 nucleotides. RefSeq lists it as uncharacterized. The transcript is spliced from 3 exons. The record is from RefSeq and is a predicted model, not a curated record. NCBI's taxonomy places the organism in Eukaryota, Viridiplantae, Streptophyta, Magnoliopsida, Solanales, Solanaceae.